GUCUACGGCCAUACCACCCUGAAUGCGCCCGAUCUCGUCUGAUCUCGGAAGCUAAGCAGGGUCGGGCCUGGUUAGUACUUGGAUGGGAGUCACCAAAUGGAUGCCAGUGACU
This 112-nucleotide ribosomal RNA is filed under the name Mustela putorius furo (domestic ferret). Lineage: Eukaryota; Metazoa; Chordata; Mammalia; Carnivora; Mustelidae. The record is from RNAcentral.